Long non-coding RNA from Sinocyclocheilus grahami, 343 nucleotides. RefSeq lists it as uncharacterized. NCBI's taxonomy places the organism in Eukaryota, Metazoa, Chordata, Actinopteri, Cypriniformes, Cyprinidae. The record is from RefSeq and is a predicted model, not a curated record. The transcript has 3 exons.
CAUCUGACUCUUGUGUGUCUUCUGAUUGCAGGCCUCAGGAACACCAGCCAACCAAUAACCCCAACGCAUCCAAGUUUGCUCAAAAGUUUGGCGGCUCUGAUAAUUGUCCUCGGUGUAGCAAGGCCGUCUACGCAGCUGAAAAAGUCAUAGGGGCAGGAAAUGCAUGGCACAGGGGUUGUUUCCGAUGUGCAAAGUGCGGCAAGGGGCUGGAAUCUACAACUUUAGCCGACAAGGAUGGUGAAAUCUACUGCAAAGGCAGAGUAUCCAAUGUUAUCCUGUCUCUUUUUAGUGAUUCAUGCCAAGCAACCACCUAGAAAACACUCAGAACAUUAUAAUGAACUAA